This 59-nucleotide transfer RNA is filed under the name Thelazia callipaeda (thelaziosis nematode). RNAcentral describes it as "tRNA-Lys". The record is from RNAcentral. Lineage: Eukaryota; Metazoa; Nematoda; Chromadorea; Rhabditida; Thelaziidae.
UGAGAAAUUAUUUUAAGUUUAGAAUUUUUGACUCUUAAUCAGAAAGUUUGUUUUCUCAG